GUGCCAGCAGCCGCGGUGAUACGGAGGGUGCAGGCGUUAUCCGGAUUCACUGGGUUUAAAGGGUGCGUAGGCGGGCUUGUAAGUCCGUGGUGAAAUCUCUGAGCUUAACUCGGAAACUGCCAUGGAUACUAUGGGUCUUGAAUACUCGGGAGGUGAGCGGAAUAUGUCAUGUAGCGGUGAAAUGCUUAGAUAUGACAUAGAACACCAAUUGCGAAGGCAGCUUGCUACAGAGUUAUUGACGCUGAGGCACGAAAGCGUGGGGAUCAAACAGGAUUAGAUACCCUGGUAGUCCACGCCCUAAACUAUGGAUACUCGACGUUGGCGAUAUGACUGUCAGCGUCUGAGCGAAAGCAUUAAGUAUCCCACCUGGGAAGUACGACCGCAAGGUUGAAACUCAAAGGAAUUGGCGGGGGUCCGCACAAGCGGUGGAGCAUGUGGUUUAAUUCGAUGAUACGCGGGGAACCUUACCUGGGCUAGAAUGCUAAGUGACCACGGGUGAAAAGCUCGUUUUAUAGCAAUAUACACUUAGUAAGGUGCUGCAUGGCGCCGCUCUCAGCACCCGUGCCGGUGAGGUGUUGGGGUUAAGUCCCGCAACGAGCGCAACCCCCAUCAGUAGUUGCCAUCAGGUAACGCUGGGAACUCUACUGAAACUGCCGUCGUAAGACGCGAGGAAGGAGGGGAUGAUGUCAGUCAUCAUGGCCUUUAUGCCCAGGCUACACACGUGCUACAAUGGGAGGGACAAAGGGCUGCCACUUAGCGAUAGCGCCAUCCCAAAACCCUCUCUCAGUUCGG
Molecule: ribosomal RNA, 792 nt
Filed under: uncultured bacterium
Lineage: Bacteria
Description: bacterial SSU rRNA
Rfam family: Bacterial small subunit ribosomal RNA
Source: RNAcentral